RNAcentral lists this ribosomal RNA (301 nucleotides) under uncultured bacterium. Its description in RNAcentral is "partial 16S ribosomal RNA". It matches the Rfam family "Bacterial small subunit ribosomal RNA", at positions 509 to 807 of the family's 1533-position model. The record is from RNAcentral.
CAGUAGCCACGGGAAUACGAAGGGUGCAAGCGUUAAUCGGAAUUACUGGGCGUAAAGCGCGCGUAGGUGGUUUGGUAUGAUGGAUGUGAAAUCCCCGGGCUCAACCUGGGAACUGCAUCCAUAACUGCCUGACUAGAGUACGGUAGAGGGUGGUGGAAUUUCCUGUGUAGCGGUGAAAUGCGUAGAUAUAGGAAGGAACACCAGUGGCGAAGGCGACCACCUGGACUGAUACUGACACUGAGGUGCGAAAGCGUGGGGAGCAAACAGGAUUAGAUACCCGCGUAGUCCCUGUCUCUUAUAC